UUCUUCUGAAUUUUUCGGUUUUCAUCAUCAAUUGUCAACAACACCAUUAAGCCUUCGACUUCAACUCUCCACCCUUUUCUCUUUUUGUUUUUCUUUCGUUAAGGUUUCUAACUCAGUGAGCCGCUAUGACGACAACGGCUCAGUCUCCUUCUCCAAUUCCAACGACGAUAAGCCACAAGCAGUCUCAGAGGCUGUACAAGAAAAUGUUAGGCCAGGGGCUACUAAACAGAAUUUUGAAGCAAGCCAGGUUCAACAAGAUAUUAGUCCAAAUGCUACUAAACAGUGUGUUCCAGAAUCUGUGUUUGUGAAAUCCGAACCGAUAAGAGAGGACCACGUUUCUAAUGCUGUCAAAUUUCUUUCACACCCCAAAGUUAAGGGUUCGCCUGCUAUCUAUAGAAGAUCCUUCCUCGAGAGGAAAGGCCUUACAAAAGAGGAGAUAUAUGAAGCUUUUCGAUAACAUUUUUUAGGAAGUUAUCAUCCCAAAGUUGAAAUUGUGGAUACGUAAAGUUGUGCUGGAAGAAGAAAAUGACCAUACCAAGAAAAUUGAUGCAAAACCAAGUUUGGCAGAGGAGGCAGCAGCUGCGGCUGCAUCUGCUGGCAAUACUAAAGCGAGUCAGGAAAUGUUGAACUCCAGAAAUGAAGAGCGAAGGUGCUUUGAGAAAUUUAUGAAUCUUAUGGAUGUGCAAGUGCAAGAGAUGAAGUCAAUGAGUAAUUCAAUAAGCAAACUGGAAGGACAAGCUAAUAGCUCUGGCAGGGCAUUUUCUGAUCAUGAUGAUCAUAGACUAUCGGCCUUGGGUACAAAGGUAUGCUGAAACCAAGUUAAUUCCAAACGCUUUAUAUCUGUUUUGGAAAAUAAAUCCUCUGAUCCCAGUUUACCACUCAAAUCGAUGCACUUCAAGAAUAUUCACACUUUAAUACUGACAAUACUAGUCGAACGGAUCAUCUUCAGAACCAUUGUUGAACGGAUCUUGAGGAAAUGUACGUAUUCCGAUGGUAUUUGUUUUAUUUAUGUAUUGAACAUUCUCCAACAUGACCGACGUACUUGAGUCGUACUCCACAACCUUUAGGGGCGAUAUAAUACUUAGGUUUUUUCGGUGUUUCCAAAAUUAUCAAAUAACAUUCACUUAUUUCUAGGUCAUGAGGGUAGUCAGGUCAUUUUUGUACUCGAGAUUGCUUCGGUCUUCUUAGAGUUCAAGGUAUUCCAAUCAUUUUCUUUGAUUCAGUUAUAUAUAUAUAUCAUUUCCAGUAAUUUAAUCAAGAUGAGCUAUUACUAAACAAAAAUGUCUUUAAAGCAAUCCUAUGUGAAUCGAAAGGUGGAUGUCAAUGUGCAGCAAGGUAAUUUUUCUCUGAUUAUUUUUCUGUACUUAGUUGUCCAGUCGGUCCUAACAAUUUGAAUUCCAGAAUCCUAUAACUAUGAUAUAUUUUAAGCAAGGAGAUCCUCCACACCACAUGCAUCUGCGGAACCACCUCACUCGAAGUCGUAUAUGGAGAUUAUGUAAAUGAUCCAAAGAAGGGAGAAACCUUCAAUAUCAGAGAAAUCAAUGAUAUCCCUCCCAACCCUAACCAGCAAUUGUCAAAUCCUCGCAUAGCACCAAGAUCUAAGACCAUAAGAGGGCCCAAUUUCACAAAGCAGCCGCAGUCUGCAUCAAGAAGUUGGUUUAUGCGAGCUUAUUUGGAUAGAUGACACCACUCAACAGCCUCAUUUCAAUGCUACUUGUGCAUAUCUGAAUUGGAAUCAUCUAUUCCCCCCCCCCCCUAGUGUGAAGGCUGUUUGGAUGGAAAUAUUGUAGUCGGCAUCCUGAGUUGCAAUGGGCAGUCAUUCCAUUGAUAGGCAAAGCAUCCUUGAUGGGAGGAGGAAAAUGGUAGGUACUUUGGUGAUGCGAAACUUCUGAACGGGAAAUGCUUUAUGGAUGAAACAUAUAAAUAUAAACAUGAGCAAUUUAAAAAAUGUUAAGCAUUUAACUUAUGGUUAAGACGA
Molecule: long non-coding RNA, 1978 nt
Organism: Hibiscus syriacus
Lineage: Eukaryota; Viridiplantae; Streptophyta; Magnoliopsida; Malvales; Malvaceae
Exons: 8
Source: RefSeq, a predicted model, not a curated record